Molecule: long non-coding RNA, 741 nt
Organism: Rhinopithecus roxellana (golden snub-nosed monkey)
Lineage: Eukaryota; Metazoa; Chordata; Mammalia; Primates; Cercopithecidae
Exons: 3
Source: RefSeq, a predicted model, not a curated record
ACUGCCACGUGGCCCAUGCCCAGCAUAAGCUGAUGGACCACCUUCUGAACAAAACCCGUUACAACAACCUGAUCUGCCCAGCCACCAGCUCCUCACAGCUCAUCUCCAUUGAGACGGAGCUCCCCCUGGCCCAGUGCAUCAGUUGGUUUGUGCUCAGACUAUAUUCUAAAUGGCGGCCGACUCCUCUCCAGGCCUUGCUUCCGGCUUUUAGAUUGUUUUUGCCUUCUUGUCAUCUGCUCGGUAGAUGGCAGCUUUCAGAUGCUCCUAAGGGGCCAGGAAAGAGAGUGAGAAGCCAUAGAGGCUGCCAGGUCGUCCCCCUGAGGGCCCCACCCUCAUCAACUCCCUCAACUGGGUCUCCUGCACUACUGGUGGCCAUCUCGACCACCACUUUGCCCUGAGCUUCCUGCUGCUGCAGCUGGGCAGAGCCUCCUUCUCAGAGGCCAGCUGCUGAUAGGUGGCCACGUACUGCUGCAGGUGACCCAGGUAACGGUCUCGCUGCUGCUGCAGACUCUGAGGCUAUUGGCUCUUCAACUCCACCUACAGGAUAGGCACCAGGCUCCUCAUCGAUUAUGCUAUGGCCAGAGACAGUAGAGAAAGGAAUGAACGAAGAACAGAAAGGAACGCUUUGGUGGUCAGCCCUCUGCUUUCACCCCACAACCACAGAACCGUGGCACUGGAUGGGACCCCAGGAAUUAAAAGUCCCAGGUGGCAGGCCAGAGAGAAGACAUGAGUUGCCUGAGG